Long non-coding RNA from Clupea harengus (Atlantic herring), 4387 nucleotides. Lineage: Eukaryota; Metazoa; Chordata; Actinopteri; Clupeiformes; Clupeidae. The record is from Ensembl.
CCUCAACACACCAUCUCACACAGGCAUACACAUUAAUAAAUCUGCCCACACACACGCUCUCUAUAUCUCACAUGCUUGCAUACUCUCUCUCCUUCAAACCCACACACACACACACACACACACACACUUAAAAAAAAAAUGACUUGAUGUACUGAAAAUGUAUGCCUAAAAUAUGCGUGUGGCUUAUGCAAUCGGGCGGGCGUUGCAUAAUGCAUGGGGCUGUAAUUAUUGCGGCUCUCCUUACACACGCUUCUGUGCCACUCCACCUCCAUGCCCUGUGCCCCUCUCCACAUCCGCCCCAUACACUCACUCACUCACUCUGCCACUCGCACAGCCUGCCUCUUCCAACAUACACACACACACACAUACACACAUUCACAUAUACACACACACACACACACAAACAUACCUAUGAAAAGCCCUUCCCAAACUUUUCAUGGCAGGCCUCACCUUUGACAAUCAGAAAAAAAAUGGUGUCCGCCCCGCCCAACACCUCGGUGCAAAGAGCAAAGAUAGAGAUGUUCACAUAACCUAUUACCUGUUUUUAGUUGUUUUUUUUACAUUUGAACAGCUAACAUUUGCAGUUUAAUUUCAUCAAUCAAUUAACCUUAAAUAUUUUAUCAAUUCAACUUUUUUUAUUUUGUUUGAUCAGAGCUUUUUUUAAACUGAUCAAAUCUUUCCAUAUCAAAUACGGUUUCAUGAUUAGCUAUGUAUCGUUAUAUUCUUUGGAUCGGUUCAUAUUAGGCGCAUGUCUGUUGUAUUAAUAAUUACAUUAGCUAUCCCUCACCAACUGGUUAUGCUACGGCUACGGUGUUGUAAGAGCACUGCCACACUGGGGGGCCCGCCCCACACUUUAGGAACCACUGGGCUACACACAGGUUUCCAUAGGCCUGUGCACUCACUAACCCACCUAAGGCUGAGGAGAUCUCAGGAGAGAGCAGGAGAGGAGGAAGACUGGGGAGAAAGGGAGAGGAAAAUAGAAUGAAAGAGAGUGGGAGGGAGGGAGAGAGAGAGCAAUAGGGGGUCAUGUUGUGGAGGAGUUUUCUCAAGGCAGUUGGAUAUGAAGCACCAUCAUAGUAUGGAGUUAUAAGUGGAGAGUUUUUUAGAAGUUAGGUGAGUGUGUGUGUGUGUGUGUGUGUGUGUGUGUGUGUGUGUGUGUGUGUGUGUGUGUGUGUGUGUGUGUGUGUGUGCGUAUUGUAUGUGUGUGUGUGUGUGUGUGUGUGUGUGUGUGUGUGUGUGUGUGUGUGUGUGUGUGUAUGUUAUUGACCCUAAGCUAAAGUAUUACACAGCCUAAGCCAAUUCAGCAGCAUGGUUCUGAGGUGAUAGUGGAAGCUACUCUCUUUAAUCCAAUCGUACAGGGAAAUCCAAUGUGCAAGCACAUGCACAAGCACACACACACAAAGUGACACACGCACACACAUACACACACACACACAGAGAGAGAGAGAGAGAGAGAGAGAGAGAGAGAGAGAGAGAAAGACACACACACACACACACACACAGUACACACAGACACACACACACACAGAGAAAAAGACGCACACACACACACGAAAACACACACAGAGAGAAAGAGACACACAUACACAGCAUUAUUUCCCUGUCAGGUUGGAACUCCAUAGUAGCUGUUAGCUACCAGCAGGCCCUGGGGACCACUCCAACCUGGGAGAGUAUUUUUUUUUCCAUCUGCAGCAAAGGCUUCAACAAGUGCAUAACAACGCAAAGCCAACACAGACGCUCUUACCUCAUGGCCACAGCGUGAAUGCAAGGCCCAACCUUUGUGACAAUCAUAAGACUUCACUUUUGUCCCCGUUUAUUUUCUCUUUCAUUCUCCAUAAAGACCUUUAAGGUAGCAGGCAAUGUCCUUCUCAAGGCAACCCCAUCACUCCCUCCCCAACGGGCUGUCUCACACACACUCUCACACACACACACACACACACACACACACACACACACACACACACACAAAUAUUUCUUUACACAUACUCUCACACAUUUACAAACACAUACAGCUCUGACUCUCUCUGUCACUCACCAUCUCUUUUUAAUUCAGUUUGAGCAUUCGGCAGGGUGCUGAUGACUUGGGGCGAACAUCAGAGCGAGAGCCGCAAAUUACAGCUGACAUUGGGCGGAGUGAAAGCGCUCCUUUUUAAAGUCGUCUAAUUCUUUGGUGUUAUAUUCAGAUGUGUGUUUGACUCAUCUGUUUAGUGAAGACUGUCCCCCACUGAAUGAAUGAAACUCAUACUGCAUUCUGACUCCUCUUCUGACAUUCUUCCUACAUUUACUCUCCCUCUCACACACACACACAUAAACACACACACAAACACACAUACACACACACACACACAUUAACACAGUACAAGUUACAACCACCACAAUAUAUCACCACAACAGGUGCCGAAAUGACACACUCUUGGUUAUUUCUGUAGUCUUUUGAUAAUAACUAACUUGGUCUAGAAAGUGCAGUCAUUUUGGUAGUCAGUCACUGAUGUGUGAUUCCUUCGGAGUGUCGUGAAAUCAUUUCGUUUAGUAUUUAUUUUCUUCUUAUUAAGACCCGGUGGAAGUAGAUCAGACACGGUUGGCAGUGGAGGGCCACGUUUCCGCUUGACACCUCUCUGCCAUCUCGGUUACAUGUGGUUUUACAUAACUGGAGGAGAAGUCAAACCACUGUCCCAAGUGCCCACAUGUGUUGUCAUGCGUGAUGUUGUGUGUGAGGGAUUUCAAUUGCUAUGUCUGUAUGGAGGAGUUUGUGUAUCUAGUUUUGUUCGUGGUGUGUGUGAGAGAGGCUGAGAAUGUGUGUGAGUGUGUGUGACAGAGACAGAGAGAGAGAGGAAAAUAUUCUUUAUUGUAUGUGUGUGUAAGUGUAAGAUAAUUUGUAUAUACUGUGUGGUAAUUGUAAAGUAUAAUAAUCUGUGAAUCAUGUGAAUAUAAUAACCGGGACCUUUUCAUUGUAACUAAAACCUGCAUUUGCUGUAUUGGUGUGUAGCUUUUGUGUUUCUGUUCUUGUAGAUGAAGGUGUGAUACUGUGGGGGCGUAUGUGCAUGCAAGUGUAUAGCCUCUUUGGAUUAUAGAAUCUGAGUAAAUGACUCACUAGAGGUUAGUGGUGUGUGUGUGUGUGUGUGUGUGUGUGUGUGUGUGUGUGUGUGUGUGGGUAAAAAUUAAAUUUUUAUAUCAAUGGGUUUGUAUUUAAUUUUCUAGCGCAUUUUUCGCAUUUAUUGGAGCAUUUAUUGAACCAUGUCUAAUCUUGUGUUAAUAUGGAGUACUGCAGUAAUAGUGAUCCAGUCAUAACAAUUUAGUUAGAGAAGUUCACUGAUAAUUUAGAGAAUGGAACAGGGCAGAAUCGAAUGUCACAUGAAACUUAAAAAAAGACAGGGGGCAUUUGUGUGAUCACAUUUGAGAUUUCAGAGGCUCUUUUGUGCCUUCUGGAGGAAUUUGUGCCCAAAGCCCUUGUUCAUUUCUGAGUCUAGUGUCUGGUGAUAACGAAGGGCCAUGCAACUGGCAGCUGUUCACCAGCUUUUAGGCACAAACUAAGAUUGAACACCAAGGUGUGUGUGUGUGGGUGUGUGUGCGUGUGUGUGUGUGUGUGGUAGAAAUUGACAUUGUUAAUGAGGACAUUGUGGAGGGAGGGUGUAACGGUACCCUGUGUGACAUGCCCGCAAAGCACAAACACAGGCAAGGCACACGCACCCGCACACACAAAGAGAAAGAGAGCAACCUAUAUCCAUCCGCUUAAGGUGUUGCUGCAGUGUUUUGUGGGUAAAGCUAAUCGGAGCACACUCAAGGCGAGCCAAGCCGAGCUGAGCAGAGCCGGCAGGAGGUCACCGUGGCGAUGUAGGGCUGCCGAUGCCGCUGCUGCUGCUGUCACUGGCGUCCCAGUGUCCAGAAGCAGGUCAAUGAUCUCACAGCAGAGGACAGCAGCUCCUAGUCCCGUCUCCUUCUUUCCACCUGACCCAGCCCAAACACACAAACGGAAUCUGACCCAUCCCUACCCCCCCCCCCCCCCCCCCAUGUAUAACCAUGCACUCAUACUCACACGCUCAAACACAAACACACACGUUCUGCACAUUAACGGCCGCAGAAAAAACACAUCACACAUCCACACAACUCCAACCCAUACUAUAACUCACAUAUAAAUAUUACGCAUUACAAUCUAAGAAAUAAACCCUCAAGGGCGCAGGUAUAAUUGUUUCACAACCUGUGGUGGAAUUUGGUGGAGCGUGACAUAGCGAGCGAAGCCGCAGUUAAUUACCACUGACACUUAUUCUGUGGAGUCAAGAGCAGAAUGAUUAAAGGUAAACUUAAUUUCACAGCUGUGCAGCAAGACAUUUUCUAGCAGUUUGGUAAUGACAGCGAAGGUCAUGUGGAUUAUUACUGCUGAUAAAGGAUA